This 72-nucleotide transfer RNA is filed under the name Candidatus Minthomonas equi. RNAcentral's name for it is "tRNA-Glu". It matches the Rfam family "tRNA". From Rfam's summary of the family: Transfer RNA (tRNA) molecules are approximately 80 nucleotides in length. The record is from RNAcentral. Lineage: Bacteria; Pseudomonadati; Bacteroidota; Bacteroidia; Bacteroidales.
GGUUCAUUCGUCUAAUGGUUAGGACGCAAGAUUCUCAUUCUUGUAAUAGGGGUUCGAUUCCCCUAUGAACUA